Molecule: long non-coding RNA, 1472 nt
Organism: Oncorhynchus tshawytscha (Chinook salmon)
Lineage: Eukaryota; Metazoa; Chordata; Actinopteri; Salmoniformes; Salmonidae
Source: Ensembl
GUCCCAUGUUUUACGCUACUCCCUAUCCUGGUUUUAAUGUCUACCCGUAUGCUUUCACGCGUACAAUAUUAUAGAAAGUAUAGGGCGGGGAGGGGUUUCGUGCAGAGAAGAGAUUAUUCUGCUCCGGUUAUUUCCGAUUUCCCCCGAUCUGCGCCGGUUUUAAGGGUUUUAAGGCUUCCAAUUUCUUCGUCGUGUGUUCUGGCGAUACAUCUGCAUCCUCCAUUUCUGGCAUUCUCAUCAUGUUGGACAUUUUAGUGUUGAUGUUUUUUGCUAUCAUGGGACUUGUUUUCCUAUCCUACAUAAUUUACAUGUUAUGAUGUGUGUCCGGAUUUUGGACCCAGCCGGUGAGCCGCUCCUACAUCCGCGGUACCCAUCGCUGACAAUGGGAGGAAUGCUCUUCAACGUGGAGGAGAAGGGGGGCUUUACUGCUCCUCUGGGGGGAAUGAAGAUGGCCCAUCAGAGGGGGAAGACCUUGUAGGGUGGAUAGACUGGCAGCUGGUGGACACUUCUCUGUUGGUCUCUAGAUUCAGCCACCCGACUAUGAUGACCCUUAUCGAGAUCUGGUCUCCUGUACCCCAGUAGGCUCCAAUAGGCAACCCCUGUGCCCUACUGACUCCUCUUCUAAAAUGAUGAUCUGUGUGUAGAACGCAUAGGAGUUAGUAAAGAUGUCAAAUUGGUAAGGAUGUAAAGCUAUAAGGAGGACGGUUGUAUUGCAGUAGUAUUGUUUGUGCCUAUUUGACUACACUGUGAGGGUUAACACUAACCCCCAAACUGUGCAAUGUACAAUAUCUCCAUGUUAAGUUCAUGGUUUCGUGUGUAAGGCUAUAUAAGUAAGUCAAAGGAUAGAGACUUCAUCCUAUCAAGGAACUUGGACAGUUAUUAUCUUAGUCCUAGUUGUUUUCUAUGAACAGGCUGAGAUGAUCUUGAUUGACCUCUACUUGAUCUAAGCGUUGAAGCAGGACUAUGUCCUCUCUGUCCUUUUUACAGUCAGUGAACCUAAAAGGCCAGGGGGUUGUGUUAAUGCAAUAGCUAUUAGCCACAGUCACACAGAGAUUAUAUUGGCAUGUCAGUACUAACAAAAAUGUAUACAUUAAAAGUAUUAGCUAAACUGUUUUUUUCAGAAGCUCUGUUGUGUUCCUGGAAGAGAAGUAUUCCAUCUAAUUAUGGCAUUAAAUUGAUAGGAUCCGGAAGUAACUCCCAUAUCAUCACUCUUGUCACUGUAAUCAUGAAUGACUGAUUUAUCUUAAACAGUAUUGAUAACAGUCGAGUGGUCCACACACCGAAUGCAUGUUUUUAUCCCUCAGAUUCAUCACUGCAGUUUGUUUUUCUCACACAAAUAUAAGUGUUAUAUUUAUCAGAGCCAAGGCAAAUGCUGAUAUUUUUGUGAUGCCAUUGAAAUAAAGGUUUGCGCACGAAAACCUGGCUAACUUUAUUUCACUUCAAAAUGUGUGAAUGUGCAUAGGUAUGCGAGA